Molecule: ribosomal RNA, 253 nt
Filed under: uncultured bacterium
Lineage: Bacteria
Description: partial 16S ribosomal RNA
Rfam family: Bacterial small subunit ribosomal RNA
Source: RNAcentral
GACGAACCGUGCGAACGUUGUUCGGAAUCACUGGGCUUAAAGGGCGCGUAGGCGGGUUCGAAAGUCUGUGGUGAAAGCCUCCAGCUUAACCGGAGAAGUGCCAUGGAUACUGCGAACCUGGAGGAGGGUAGGGGCAUCUGGAACGCUGGGUGGAGCGGUGAAAUGCGUUGAUAUCCAGCGGAACUCCGGUGGCGAAGGCGAGGUGCUGGACCCUCUCUGACGCUGAGGCGCGAAAGCCAGGGGAGCAAACGGG